GAAAAUAAACAAUCACCAGAAUGGUAUCAUCAGAGAGAGUUAAUUUAGCAUUUUAGCACACGUAUUUUUGGCCUUCUUUAUACUUACACGUCUAUGGUGUCUAUAUUAUAGAGAUACUGUAAAUAUUUGCUUUUCAUCCACUUGAUAGUGUACCAUGAAUACUUGUCAUGCUGUUAAUUAUUAAUCUAAAACAUGAUUUUCAAACUUUCAGAUGCAUAAGAAUCACCUGGGAGCAUGUGGGAAACGAAGGUUCUAAGGGUCCUCACUCACAGAUCCGAACGCAUGAAUCUGAGAUGAGGACCAGAGAGCUGCCUGUUGAAAAGCAUCCCAGUGAUUCUGAUGCAGGCGCCUCCCGGCACUCACUCUGACAAACACCGUCCACAGCGCGAUUGUUAAUUGCCGCACUGUGUUUUAUUACAUAGACGUGCCAUAACUUAUUAAACCAAUCUGAUAUUGUUCAUUCAACUCUAGUUUCCAAAUUUUCAUCUGCAUGAUUAAUUCCUCAAUGAAUAACCUACUACAUAACUCUUUCUGAACCUCUCUGAUUAUUCGCUUACAAAGAUGCUACAAAGCGGAAUUACUGGGUCAAAGAGAAUGCAAACUUGAGAAAAGCAGAUGGUAUUUUGGGUAGAAAAACAACCUUCUAAGCUGUAAAGUAUUAGACUAAGAUGAAAGAUUUAACAGCUGCCGCUUUCUGAGAGACUUUCAUACACCAGGAUGGUGGUUCUCAAAAUUUAUCCCGCGUGGACUCACCUGGAGGGCUUAUAAAAACAGAUUGCUGUCGCUUCCUCCCUGCCCGCUCUGAUUCAGCAGGUGAGGUGGGGCUGGAAAGGUGCGUUUCUAACAAGUUCUCAGAUGCUGCUGAUGCUGCUGGUUUGGGGACCACACUUCGAGAACUAGACGCUAUCCCAGCUGUUUCAAGCAAGUUAUUUAAAUGCCCUGGCAGCCCUUUACAGGCGAGGGCUGAGACUCAGAGAGGGUCUGAGGCCAUGAAGCUAAUGAUGCCAGAGCCGGGCGCUCUGAUUCCAGGUUUGAUCAUUUAAUGGCUGAUGCUUUCCUACAAACAGCCUCGUUUCUUACUUCAUUUCACUGCCCACAGAUAAAAUAUUUUUUGAUGUCUUCAUAAUAAGCGCCAAAGGUUCCGGUGUAAACCGCAUCCCUCCCAAUCUCGUAGGGGUGGCUGGGCGAGGAGAGAGGUUUGGAAGUGUUGGCUGAGAAUUUUUUCAGGGGCAGCUGGUCCAAUGAGUGACACUCCACCAUUCACAUCAAUCGGAUGGGUUCCUUCCCCGCCCUCCAUGGCUUCACCGACAUGUGGACUUCCAGACAAUCACUUCUCAACAGUUACUGCAACCGGGUAAUACUUCUUCCUCAGAAGAGAGCUCUCUCUUCUCCAAAAACCACCUCCAGGCUGCUCCACACAAUGGCCCAAACAACCUGUUUGUUCAGGCAACUCAGAAAAUAAAUCAUAUCAGUGCGGAAAAACAAGGAACUCCUGUCAAACCUGCUGGUUAAUAAUACCCGGCAGAGCAAACAGCAGGGGCCUGGCAAACAAGGAGCCAGGAUGGCUUCUCCCACACUCAGGUUAAGAGAGGUGAGCGUUUCCGAACCCACGCCCAGCCUCGCCAGCCACGUGAGUCACACAUAUUUCACAACUGAAGAAAUUCGAAGACCUAAUUAUGCAAAAUUUCGCCUGUUUAUCAUCUCGGGCUUUUGUCACCCUGCUGCCUUGUAGUGUGUUGACAAUUGUGUGUCGAUUUUUUUUCUCCAUAUGUCAUUCAGUCUCCAUGUCUUGAUCCUGCGAUUUGAGGUCUUUGCUAGGCACUCUACAAAGAGAAAUGGAACGCCGGCUGUCUAAAACAUGUUUUGUGUGGCUUCUAGAUAGUUCCAUUGGAUGUGGGUGCCCGAGAACAAUCCAUCCUUCCUGCCCAAUUACAUAACUCAGAAGGCGUUACUCCUAUCUGUCUUAAGGCAAAUUCGGUCUGGGCUGCUUCAUCAUGUAAGACAAGGCAGUACAUCCAACAGCGACAUAAUUGGUCUUUCUGCAUGUGCUCUGAGCCCCCACGGCUUAUUGUUAACACAGCUACUAGAGUCAUCUUUCCAAAGCCAAAUUCAAGUCAUUCUUCCGGAUGUUUGGAUUAUUCUCCUGCUAACAUUUGGCCGAUUGGGUGAAUUUAAUACCUUCUGUCUAGCUGCUUUGUGCCAAAAAUUGUGUAGAAGUGACCAUAGUCAACAUGGGGGCGCCACCUGGUACCACGAGGAGCACACCAAGAAAGAGCAGCAACACUGAAGGACUGCGGGAGCCGGACGCUGGGAAUCUGCCGUCUUUCCCUGGACUGCCCACCUCGGCUCAGCUUUCACGUGAGAGAAAUAGAUUGUGUUCUCAUGUAAGCCACAGCCAUUUUGGAUUUUCCUGUUGUGCAGUCAAACCUAACCCUAAAUAAUGCACACCUGUGAUUUGAAAGCAUUUUAGCGCUUACAAAAACACCCUAUAUUACUUAUCUCAUUUCUUCAACAAUCCUAUACAAUGCAAGGAACAGGAACUAUCAUUCCCACUUUUCAGUCGAAGAAACUGACCUUUUAGGAAGUUAAAUGACUUGCACACGGUCAAACAACUAGUAAGUAGAGAGUCUGGAUCAAAGAGAAGUUCGAUAUCUUCGUACAACUAGUCCCACCUGUUGAGACAGGGAGACACAAGCCCGGUGCACGGUCCUGGAGUGAGACAGAUCUGACUGCAGAUUUUUCUGUCUGGCUCCUCUUGUCUUAGGCGAGUUAUCUACCUUUCGUGAUCCUCAUGUAAUUAUUUGCAAGGUGGGUAAACAAUACCUCUAGGGAUCAAACGCUCCGAAUGAGAUAAGGUUUGUGGAGCUCCUGGUCCAGGGUCUGAGAUACAGCAGAUGCUCAGUAAAUAGAGCUCUUAUGGUGGCAGAUGCUUAUCAUUCUAAAGGUUAUUCAGAUGUGGGAGCAAAGGAAUGGAGGGGAGAGACUCAAAGGCUGCUUCAUCUUGAAGUUCUGUAUGUCUGUAAAGAAUUUGAAAUAUUUUUCUUUCUUUCUGGUUCAAAAGAUCAGAUUAGUGGGCCUGGGAGUGGCUAAGUUUCUUGUGUCCUCUGAACAUCUUCAAGUUAUUUCUCCCUAUCUCCAUUUGGGGAGAGACGUCACAGAAAAAUGUUUUUUGCUUUCAAGCUUCUCACAAGACUCAAGAAGAUGGGAAAGCACCCAUUCCAAAGCAAUUUCUAAAUUUCCCUUAUAGAAGUGAAGCGGGAACUCCUAGAGUAGCAAGUUGAAUUUUGUUUCUCAAAUACAGUUUGCAUGCCCCCUUCAGGUAUGUGAUAUCAGACUCAACUAGAUGAGAAAAAUGUCCUUCAAGCCCCUCAGACCUUGAAGAAAGUCAUCCAGAUGCACCCUCUGACGUGCACCUGCAGGUAAUCCUGCAGUGGCUGUUGUGACAGCAUCUAGUUUGUGGCCACUUUCGUCCCUCGCAAUCUUUUCUGCCCACCAGCAUAGCAAGAGGUCUCAUGGUUGCUUUUCAAUACUGAAGAUUUUGCUGGGUCCUGACUGUACUUCAUCUCUAAAGUGAAGCCUUUCCGGAUGCUUAUGUGCUGCUCCUUGACUCACUGACCUUAGGCUGCGUCCCUUUUCUGACAAGUGCCCUUUCUUACCACGUUUUUCACCCAUCUUGCUAUCUGACUCCAGAUUACAUUAAAUCAACUUUUAAUUUAUUUAGGUAAAUAGCAUUUAGGAAAGCUUUUAUGUCAUUUUAAAAAAGCAACUUCUAUUCAACUGGUAAUGGCCCUGGGAAGUUAUACACAUCUGGCUGUCAAGACUUAAAUGCACAUAUAGUUCUUUGGUGCAUGUGUAUGUUAUAAGUAAAAUUCAGAUGCUGAAGAUUAUUUGGACAGACACGGAACUCUGUUAAUUAGAGCUGCCUCUUCAGGAUCGGAACCUGAGAAUUGUGCUCUUAUUAUGUAAUACACAGGCAAAGUAGGUUACUGUACCUGACGUGGGGCAAAUGUUUAUAAUGUCCAGCCAGAACUGUCACCUGAGGACACAGAGAACAAAGAAACAGAAAGCCCUAAUCAGAUUAGAGCUUAACGAACCCACCUCCGGCUAGCUGUGGACUCGCCCAUGCCAGGCCGUGCCAACGAACAAACAGUAGGACAAAAAUGAGAGAACCAAACCUCUUCUGAAUUAUUUACAUUCUUCUGGUCGCUGUAAUUACAGGAUAUUUUUCAUUUUCUGUUACAACUUGCUCCCAUGCUGAUAUGUUUUUAAGUUGCGAUUUGUUCUCUGUUGCGAGAUAGUUAUGGUAAUCAUUAAAAUGGGCAAAAUUUCUUUCUGAAACAUAUAAAAAAUAAUAG
This 4355-nucleotide long non-coding RNA is filed under the name Equus caballus (horse). Its description in RNAcentral is "lncRNA (ENSECAG00000050442.1)". The record is from RNAcentral. Lineage: Eukaryota; Metazoa; Chordata; Mammalia; Perissodactyla; Equidae.